UGAUUAAUUUGAAUCAAACUUAACUUCUUUUCUUAGUCAAUGAUUGAAGAAAUAGAAGAAAUCAAAAGGAUUUUCAUCUCGCGUCUUAAAUGAAAUGAGCGGACUCGAAUUAGCAGUAUAGUAUUCUAUGAGAUCCGAUAUCGGAAGAGCCUC
Molecule: long non-coding RNA, 153 nt
Organism: Eucalyptus grandis
Lineage: Eukaryota; Viridiplantae; Streptophyta; Magnoliopsida; Myrtales; Myrtaceae
Exons: 3
Source: RefSeq, a predicted model, not a curated record